AUAAAACCCUUUUUGUCAAUAUGAAUAAACAUGAAUAAGAAUGAAUGUUUGGACUUAGAAUUUUUUUGCAUACAUUUCAUGAAUAAGAAUGAAUAAUGAGGAAUAAAUUUUGGACUUAGAAUAUUUUUUCCAUUGUGUGACAAACAUGAAUAAGCAUGAAUAAAGCUGCAUGAUAAUGACUCAGAACUAUUUGUGGUAAACGGCAUAAAAAUUGAUAAUGAAAUUUGUUCUAGGACUUUUGUAUACGUAUAUUUUUACUUGAUUGUUGAUGCGGAAUAACAUACAUGUACAUGUAUGUAUUCCACAGUUAAAUGAAAAAAAUAUAUGAUAAUUUUAAUAGAUAGCUCAUGUAGGUGAUAUUCAUAACAUCUUCAUACAAAACACUGCCCCUGCGAGAUGAAAUUCAUGAACUGAUGAACCACCAUGAACUGUUCAUGAAUGUUCAUGAACAAUGCAUGACUGUUCAUAAUGAGUUCAUUAAGUUUCGUUCAUGAAUUUAGUUCAUGAAUAGUUCAUAAAAUGCAGUUCAUGAAUAUUUUCUGAACUUUAAUGAACUGUAAGUCAGUUCAUAAUGUUCAUAAAUUGUUCAUAACACAUGUUCAUGAACAUUUUAUGAACUUUAAUGAAUAAAUGAAUACAUAAAGUUUAUAAAAAAAUUCAUAAAUUUGACUGUCAUACAAGUUCUCAUAAAAUUUGACAUCCAUUACAUUGUAUCAUGACAUCACAAUUAAAGUGCUUUUAGCAUGACCUCUAGUUUAUUCAUUUUACAGAUCUUGAGAUCAUUUUGAGACAAAAUUCAGUUGAAUAGCAAAAGUGUAAAUACAUGUAUGAGGGGGAGGACAGGGGUAAGGGAGACAGGGAGGAAGGGUGUAGGAGAAAGGAGAAAGGGGGUAGGAGAAAGGAGAGGAAGGCUGGGAGAAAGAGAAAAAGUUGGAGAAAAAAAAUAAAAUAUGAAAAAAUAAAAUAUCUCUCUUUUUUGUGGUAAAUUAAAGAAAAUAAAAUAAUCAUUAAAAAAAAAUCAUUUAACAACAGAUAUUAGCUCAGCACCUUUUUCUUUUUUUCAUACUAUGCCAGAAGAGUGUUACAUUUUUAGAGUCAUACAAAAUUUGGGACUCACUUUGAAGUUUUGUAACUUACUUUGAGCUGGAGAUGUUUCUCAUGUUUCGUUUUUACAAUCAUGACAAAUUUGGUAAACUUAAUUUCUUUCUUCUAAAGAUGUAAUUUCUGAUUGUCUCUCAAAGUUCAAACAUGUGCCUUUCUUAACCAUCAUACG
This 1273-nucleotide long non-coding RNA is filed under the name Mytilus galloprovincialis (Mediterranean mussel). The record is from RNAcentral. Lineage: Eukaryota; Metazoa; Mollusca; Bivalvia; Mytilida; Mytilidae.